GUCUGAUGGAGCAACGCCGCGUGAGUGAAGAAGGGUUUCGGCUCGUAAAACUCUGUUGUUAAAGAAGAACAUAUCUGAGAGUAACUGUUCAGGUAUUGACGGUAUUUAACCAGAAAGCCACGGCUAACUACGUGCCAGCAGCCGCGGUAAUACGUAGGUGGCAAGCGUUGUCCGGAUUUAUUGGGCGUAAAGCGAGCGCAGGCGGUUUUUUAAGUCUGAUGUGAAAGCCUUCGGCUCAACCGAAGAAGUGCAUCGGAAACUGGGAAACUUGAGUGCAGAAGAGGACAGUGGAACUCCAUGUGUAGCGGUGAAAUGCGUAGAUAUAUGGAAGAACACCAGUGGCGAAGGCGGCUGUCUGGUCUGUAACUGACGCUGAGGCUCGAAAGUAUGGGUAGCAAACAGGAUUAGAUACCCUGGUAGUCCAUACCGUAAACGAUGAUUGCUAAGUGUUGGAGGGUUUCCGCCCUUCAGUGCUGCAGCUAACGCAUUAAGCAUUCCGCCUGGGGAGUACGACCGCAAGGCUGAAACUCAAAGGAAUUGACGGGGGCCCGCACAAGCGGUGGAGCAUGUGGUUUAAUUCGAAGCUACGCGAAGAACCUUACCAGGUCUUGACAUACUAUGCAAUCUAAGAGAUUAGACGUUUCUC
Molecule: ribosomal RNA, 646 nt
Filed under: Pediococcus pentosaceus
Lineage: Bacteria; Bacillati; Bacillota; Bacilli; Lactobacillales; Lactobacillaceae
Description: bacterial SSU rRNA
Rfam family: Bacterial small subunit ribosomal RNA
Source: RNAcentral